Triticum urartu is the source of this 2063-nucleotide non-coding RNA. Lineage: Eukaryota; Viridiplantae; Streptophyta; Magnoliopsida; Poales; Poaceae. The record is from RefSeq and is a predicted model, not a curated record.
GGCGGCUAGGGUUCCGGCUCCUCAGGGAGCCGGGCAAUAGGAGAUAAUAUUCUUCUUAUUGCUUGCCUUCAAAAAGAGUCUUACAACCUAUAUUUAUAUCCUAGAUAACUUGUAGAAGAAUCAACCUAAGAUAACUUGCCUAAUCUGAAAAUAAAAACUAAGAUAACUUGCGGGCCUAAGCCGGCCGGCCAUAACAACUCAACUUUGUACUAGCUUCAGUACAAAAUUGAGUCACUUAUUUUGGGACGGAGGGAGUACCUUGCAAGUGUCGUGAUGUUACAUAGAUAUUUUUGUAUCUAUAUGAAUGUCAGACCCUGUGUGAUUGAUCUUAUUUUAUUCCUAUGUGAGAACUAGCUCUCCUUUAGUAAUUUAGUACUUUUAUACUAAACUGAACUGGGAAUAGUUUGAUUGUGCUCUAUAGGACAGUGUGAUUUCUUCUCAUAGAAUGUUGUCAUCUAUAUCUUGUUGAAUGUACAUAACUAUAUUUUGCAUGAUGAUAUGUUUUUGCUGUGCCAGUCAUAUAAGUUAUUUAUUUUCUACAGGUUGUUACAUCUCCAAAGAGGAUUCCAGCAGCAAAACUUCAUGGUCAGCUUGAAUGGAAGUUGUACAAAAAAAAUGCCUGGGCGUGCAAGUUUUAUGUGAAAAUGAUGUGCCGGCGGUUGGAAGAAUGGAAAAUCACUUGGCUGUCGGAUUUCAAGCACAUAGGGCAUUGCUUAUGUGGCGUACAGUUCAUAAAAACUUCCUGAAUUGAGUGUUUAUUUUCAGUUCUAUGCUUUGUUAGACUACUAGAGCUAGAGAUGCUAAAAUCCUAGAUGAUGCUAGAUGGUGUAAUGGCAUUAGUGCUGAAUUAUAUUACAAAAUGUACAAAUUGGAUAAGUAUAACAAAUCUCAAAUCUAUUAGAUUUGUAUGUUUUUAUUCAUAAUCAUCAGUCUACAAUCACCACUCUGCUCUGGCUUUCACUUUGCAGCCCUCGCUCAGGUCUUACCCUGCCUCGCCUAGCUGCCACUCUCUUCUAGAGUGAUUGUGCCCCACCAUGCGCAAGGUAUUCACCAAGAACCAGAAGGUGCUCUUUGGACACCAUGGGAUGCUAAGGGCUGCAAGAAAUAAAAUAGUAUGUUGCAUUUUGCCUACAGGUAAGGAAACCUGUACCUUAUUUCUGCAAAGAUGUGCUCUAUUUUUUUUAUUCCAUGAGUAUUUGCAUUCCCUAUAGAAGCUGACUGGUUAAGAUAAAAGUUGAAGAAUUCAUACGAUAGUCGAUUGGAAACAUAUAUCUAGUAGUUCAUUUUUUCAUGCGCACAAUGGGAUAAAUUGAUGUAACACAAGACUUUACAACUUAGUGCUGUUGUUAUUAGAAUCAGGAGACUUGCUUUGUUACCGUACUUAGAGUUGCCGAUUGCUUACUAUAGUAAUAGCCAGGAAGGUUUGUAGUCAACUUAUAUGCAGUUGUAAUUAGUCGACUUAUGCUCCUUAAAUUGUUGUUCUUUGGUGACCAGUGAAUGGGCAAUUGACUCUUGCGUAUAUGGCUGAUCUAAUUGUUGGGAAAAUCUUCAGCACAUUGUAAUAUGAAAGGUUUUAUCCUGCAAAAAAAAGCAUGAAAGAUUUUGAUUUUUUUCUUAGGACUUCUUCAUACACUUUUUACUAUUGUAUUCACUAUAGUUUUCCUGGAUUGAACUGAUUUUCCGCUUGCAUUGUAGAUAUCAAGUCUUAGAGAAGGAAGUUUUGUAUGGCAGUCGACUCGCUUCUUCUCCGAUUCAGAUUCACAGUUAAAUAUCCCAUUCUUCUUUUUUCAGCCCUUGACAUUUUCUCCUACUUGCUAAUGCAGGAUGGAACACUUCCUGUUACAUGUAGUCUUCAGAACCUGUGCUGAAAAGGCGCUUCUUUGUUUGGAAAGUGUCUGAUUUUGCAAAACUUUUGGCUGUAUCGAAUAAUUUUCAAGUUGCUUCAGUGACAUCUGUUCCUGCUAAGACGUUUUAAAUGUGAACCUAAAUACUUGUUACCAUAAGUGACCAAACUUGUGGUGGUGUGCAAUGUUCACCUAACUUAAAACAGCUUGCGCCCUGUC